AUGAACGCUAGCGACAGGCUUAACACAUGCAAGUCGAGGGGUAACAGGGUAGCAAUACCGCUGACGACCGGCGCACGGGUGAGUAACGCGUAUGCAACCUGCCUAUAACUGGGGAAUAGCUCCCUGAAAGGGGAAUUAACACCGCAUAACACUAUUGAUUCGCAUGGAUUGGUAGUUAAAUGUAGCGAUACAGGUUAUAGAUGGGCAUGCGUGACAUUAGCUAGUUGGUGAGGUAACGGCUCACCAAGGCUACGAUGUCUAGGGGUUCUGAGAGGAAGGUCCCCCCACACUGGUACUGAGACACGGACCAGACUCCUACGGGAGGCAGCAGUGAGGAAUAUUGGUCAAUGGGCGCAAGCCUGAACCAGCCAUGUCGCGUGCAGGAAGAACCUGCCCUAUGGGUUGUAAACUGCUUUUAUAGUAGAGGAAACACAUCUACGUGUAGAUGUCUGCCAGUAUACUAUGAAUAAGCAUCGGCUAACUCCGUGCCAGCCGCCGC
Molecule: ribosomal RNA, 499 nt
Filed under: uncultured bacterium
Lineage: Bacteria
Description: bacterial SSU rRNA
Rfam family: Bacterial small subunit ribosomal RNA
Source: RNAcentral